RNAcentral lists this ribosomal RNA (874 nucleotides) under uncultured bacterium. RNAcentral describes it as "bacterial SSU rRNA". It matches the Rfam family "Bacterial small subunit ribosomal RNA", at positions 9 to 873 of the family's 1533-position model. The record is from RNAcentral.
AGAGUUUGAUCAUGGCUCAGAAUCAACGCUGGCGGCGCGCUUAACACAUGCAAGUCGAACGGGAAAGUGGAGCAAUCCAUGAGUACAGUGGCGUACGGGUGAGUAACACGUGGGUAAUCUGCCUCUUAGUGGGGAAUAACCCUGGGAAACCGGGGCUAAUACCGCAUAAGCCUGAGAAGGGAAAGUCGCAAGACGCUGAGAGAGGAGCCCGCGGCCGAUUAGCUAGUUGGCAGGGUAAGAGCCUACCAAGGCAAAGAUCGGUAGCCGGCCUGAGAGGGCACGCGGCCACACUGGCACUGAAACACGGGCCAGACUCCUACGGGAGGCAGCAGUGGGGAAUCUUGCACAAUGGGGGAAACCCUGAUGCAGCGACGCCGCGUGAGCGAUGAAGCCCUUCGGGGCGUAAAGCUCUUUCGGCAGGGAAGAUGAUGACGGUACCUGCAGAAGCAGCUGCGGCUAACUACGUGCCAGCAGCCGCGGUAAUACGUAGGCAGCGAGCGUUGUUCGGAGUUACUGGGCGUAAAGGGUGUGUAGGCGGUUGUUUAAGUUUGGUGUGAAAUCUCCCGGCUCAACUGGGAGGGUGCGCCGAAUACUGAAUGACUAGAGUGCGGGAGAGGAGAGUGGAAUUCCUGGUGUAGCGGUGAAAUGCGUAGAUAUCAGGAGGAACACCGGCGGUGUAGACGGCUCUCUGGACCGCGACUGACGCUGAGACACGAAAGCGUGGGUAGCAAACAGGAUUAGAUAAUCGUCGACCUGCAGGCAUGCAAGCUUGGCGUAAUCAUGGUCAUAGCUGUUUCCUGUGUGAAAUUGUUAUCCCGCUCACAAUUCCACACAACAUACGAGCCGGAAGCAUAAAAGUGUAAAGCCUGGGGGU